UACGUAGGGGGCAAGCGUUGUCCGGAUUUAUUGGGCGUAAAGAGCGUGUAGGCGGUUUGGUAGGUCCGCUGUGAAAACUCGAGCUCAACCUCGAGACGCCGGUGGAAACCAUCAGACUAGAGUCCGGAAGAGGAGAGUGGAAUUCCUGGUGUAGCGGUGAAAUGGCGCAGAUAUCAGGAAGAACACCCGUGGCUAAGGCGGCUCUCUAGUACGGGUAC
This 218-nucleotide ribosomal RNA is filed under the name uncultured bacterium. RNAcentral describes it as "partial 16S ribosomal RNA". It matches the Rfam family "Bacterial small subunit ribosomal RNA", at positions 524 to 740 of the family's 1533-position model. The record is from RNAcentral.